Molecule: ribosomal RNA, 432 nt
Filed under: uncultured bacterium
Lineage: Bacteria
Description: partial 16S ribosomal RNA
Rfam family: Bacterial small subunit ribosomal RNA
Source: RNAcentral
AACGAACGCUGGCGGCAUGCCUAACACAUGCAAGUCGAACGAGACCUUCGUGUCUAGUGGCGCACGGGUGCGUAACGCGUGGGAACCUGCCCUUAGGUUCGGAAUAACUCCCCGAAAGGGGUGCUAAUACCGGAUAAUGUCUUCGGACCAAAGAUUUAUCGCCUUUGGAUGGGCCCGCGUUGGAUUAGCUAGUUGGUAGGGUAAAAGCCUACCAAGGCGACGAUCCAUAGCUGGUCUGAGAGGAUGAUCAGCCACACUGGGACUGAGACACGGCCCAGACUCCUACGGGAGGCAGCAGUGGGGAAUAUUGGACAAUGGGCGAAAGCCUGAUCCAGCAAUGCCGCGUGAGUGAUGAAGGCCUUAGGGUUGUAAAGCUCUUUUACCCGGGAUGAUAAGGACAGGACCGGGAGAAUAAGCUCCGGCUAACUCCGG